This 711-nucleotide ribosomal RNA is filed under the name Nocardiopsis sp. EGI80380. Its description in RNAcentral is "bacterial SSU rRNA". It matches the Rfam family "Bacterial small subunit ribosomal RNA", at positions 81 to 792 of the family's 1533-position model. The record is from RNAcentral. Lineage: Bacteria; Bacillati; Actinomycetota; Actinomycetes; Streptosporangiales; Nocardiopsidaceae.
UUCGGGGUACACGAGCGGCGAACGGGUGAGUAACACGUGAGCAACCUGCCCCUGACUCUGGGAUAAGCGGUGGAAACGCCGUCUAAUACCGGAUACGACCGGCCACCUCAUGGUGGACGGUGGAAAGUUUUAUCGGUCAGGGAUGGGCUCGCGGCCUAUCAGCUAGUUGGUGGGGUAAAGGCCUACCAAGGCGAUUACGGGUAGCCGGCCUGAGAGGGCGACCGGCCACACUGGGACUGAGACACGGCCCAGACUCCUGCGGGAGGCAGCAGUGGGGAAUAUUGCGCAAUGGGCGAAAGCCUGACGCAGCGACGCCGCGUGGGGGAUGACGGCCUUCGGGUUGUAAACCUCUUUUACCACCAACGCAGGCUCCACGUUCUCGUGGGGUUGACGGUAGGUGGGGAAUAAGGACCGGCUAACUACGUGCCAGCAGCCGCGGUAAUACGUAGGGUCCGAGCGUUGUCCGGAAUUAUUGGGCGUAAAGAGCUCGUAGGCGGCGUGUCGCGUCUGCUGUGAAAGACCGGGGCUUAACUCCGGUUCUGCAGUGGAUACGGGCAUGCUAGAGGUAGGUAGGGGAGACUGGAAUUCCUGGUGUAGCGGUGAAAUGCGCAGAUAUCAGGAGGAACACCGGUGGCGAAGGCGGGUCUCUGGGCCUUACCUGACGCUGAGGAGCGAAAGCAUGGGGAGCGAACAGGAUUAGAUACCCUGGUA